AGGUCAUCCGAGCUGCAGCCGUCUCAGACGCCCAGGCUUGACCGCCGCGAAGGCCAACCCCGGGAAGGGGGGUAUGUUCUGUUUUGUGCUUUUUCUUUUAGAAGCUACUAAAGGGUGUUGGGGAUGCUUCUGACUAUUAUGAAGGCCAAAAGGCCUGUUGACUGGGGCUGCUUUUAACCCUUUCCUAUUUGCUGAGAAUGCAGCCGUGUGACAGUAACUGAACAUUGGUCUAAAGUCUUUCCAAAAGGUCAAGGUUCACAAGAACAUCUGCUCAAAUUCAUGACCAUGGGGGAUAUGAAGACCCCAGACUUUGAUGACCUCCUGGCAGCAUUUGACAUCCCAGAUAUGGUCGAUCCUAAAGCAGCUAUUGAGUCUGGACACGAUGACCACGAAAGCCACAUGAAACAGAACGCUCACGGAGAGGAUGACUCCCACGCACCAUCAUCUUCUGACGUGGGUGUCAGCGUUAUCGUCAAGAAUGUUCGGAACAUCGACUCGUCCGAGGGCGGGGAGAAAGACGGCCACAACCCCACCGGCAAUGGCCUCCAUAAUGGGUUUCUCACAGCGUCCUCCCUGGACAGUUACAGUAAAGAUGGAGCGAAGUCCUGGAAAGGAGAUGUGCCUGCCUCUGAGGUGGCUCUGAAAGACUCGAUGUUCAGCCAGUUUAGCCCGAUCUCCGGUGCUGAAGAGUUUGACGACGAUGAGAAGAUCGAGGUAGAUGACCGUCUUGACAAGGAGGAUGUGCGAUCAAGCUUCAGGUCGAACGUGUUGACAGGGUCGGCUCCCCAGCAGGACUACCAUAAGCUGAAGGCACUGGGAGGGGAAAACUCCAGCAAAACGGGACUCUCCAUGUCAGGCAAUAUGGAGAAAAACAAAGGUGUUAAGAGAGAAGCAGAAGCCAAUUCUAUAAACCUGAGCGUUUAUGAACCUUUUAAAGUCAGAAAAGCAGAGGAUAAAUUGAAGGAAAACUCUGACAAGGUGCUGGAAAACAGAGUCCUGGAUGGGAAGCUGAGCUCCGAGAAGAACGACACUGGCCUUCCCGGCGUUGUGCCAUCAAAGACAAAGUCGUCCUCCAAGCUCUCGUCCUGCAUCGCUGCCAUCGCGGCUCUUAGCGCUAAAAAGGCGGCUUCAGACUCCUGCAAAGAACCAGUGGCCAAUUCGAGGGAAUCCUCCCCAUUACCAAAAGAAGUAAACGACAGUCCGAGAGCCGCCGACAAGUCUCCUGAAUCCCAGAAUCUGAUCGACGGGACCAAAAAACCAUCCCUAAAGCAACCGGAUAGUCCCAGAAGCAUCUCAAGUGAGAACAGCAGCAAGGGAUCCCCGUCCUCUCCUGCAGGGUCCACACCAGCAAUCCCCAAAGUCCGCAUAAAAACCAUUGACUCUGGGAAGAAACCUUCCGAGCAGACAGCAUCCGUGAUGGCCUCUGUGACAUCCCUUCUGUCAUCUUCAGCAUCAGCCGCCGUCCUUUCCUCUCCGCUCAGGGCGCCUCUCCAGUCCGCGGUCGUGACCAAUGCAGUUUCCCCUGCAGAGCUCACCCCUAAACAGGUCACAAUCAAGCCUGUGGCUACUGCUUUCCUCCCAGUGUCUGCUGUGAAGACGGCAGGAUCUCAAGUCAUUAAUUUGAAGCUCGCUAACAACACCACGGUGAAAGCCACGGUCAUAUCUGCUGCCUCUGUCCAGAGCGCCAGCAGCGCCAUCAUUAAAGCCGCCAAUGCCAUCCAGCAGCAAACUGUCGUGGUGCUGGCAUCCAGCCUGGCCAACGCCAAACUCGUGCCAAAGACUGUGCACCUUGCCAACCUUAACCUUUUGCCUCAGGGUGCCCAGGCCACCUCUGAACUCCGCCAAGUGCUAACCAAACCUCAGCAACAAAUAAAGCAGGCAAUAAUCAAUGCAGCAGCCUCACAACCCCCCAAAAAGGUGUCUCGAGUCCAGGUGGUGUCGUCCUUGCAGAGUUCUGUGGUGGAAGCUUUCAACAAGGUGCUGAGCAGUGUCAAUCCAGUCCCUGUUUACAUCCCAAACCUCAGUCCUCCCACCAAUGCAGGGAUCACGUUACCGACGCGUGGGUACAAGUGCUUGGAGUGUGGGGACUCCUUUGCACUUGAAAAGAGUCUCACCCAGCACUACGACAGACGGAGUGUGCGCAUCGAAGUAACGUGCAACCAUUGUACAAAGAACCUCGUUUUUUACAACAAAUGCAGCCUCCUUUCCCAUGCCCGUGGGCAUAAGGAGAAAGGGGUGGUAAUGCAAUGCUCCCACUUAAUUUUAAAGCCAGUCCCAGCAGAUCAAAUGAUAGUUUCUCCAUCAAGCAAUACUUCCACUUCAACUUCCACUCUUCAGAGCCCUGUGGGAGCUGGCACACACACUGUCACAAAAAUUCAGUCUGGCAUAACUGGGACAGUCAUAUCGGCUCCUUCAAGCACUCCCAUCACCCCAGCCAUGCCCCUAGAUGAAGACCCCUCCAAACUGUGUAGACAUAGUCUAAAAUGUUUGGAGUGUAAUGAAGUCUUCCAGGACGAGACGUCACUGGCUACACAUUUCCAGCAGGCUGCAGAUACGAGUGGACAAAAGACUUGCACUAUCUGCCAGAUGCUGCUUCCUAACCAGUGCAGUUAUGCAUCACACCAGAGAAUCCAUCAGCACAAAUCUCCCUACACCUGCCCUGAGUGCGGGGCCAUCUGCAGGUCGGUGCACUUCCAGACCCACGUCACCAAGAACUGUCUGCACUACACGAGGAGAGUUGGUUUUUGAUGUGUGCAUUGCAAUGUUGUAUACUCUGAUGUGGCUGCUCUGAAGUCCCGCAUUCAAGGUUCUCACUGUGAAGUCUUCACAAGUGUCCUAUUUGUCCAAUGGCGUUUAAGUCUGCCCCAAGCACACAUUCCCACGCCUACACACAGCAUCCUGGCAUCAAGAUAGGAGAACCAAAAAUAAUAUAUAAGUGUUCCAUGUGCGACACUGUGUUCACCCUGCAAACCUUGCUGUAUCGCCACUUUAGCCAACACAUUGAAAACCAGAAGGUGUCUGUUUUCAAGUGUCCAGACUGUUCUCUUUUAUAUGCACAGAAGCAACUUAUGAUGGACCAUAUCAAGUCUAUGCAUGGAACAUUGAAAAAUAUUGAAGGGCCUCCAAACUUGGGUAUAAACUUGCCUUUGAGCAUUAAGCCUACAACUCAAAAUUCAGCAAAUCAGAACAAAGAGGACACCAAAUCCAUGAAUGGGAAAGAGAAAUUGGAAAAGAAAUCUCCAUCUCCUGUGAAAAAAUCCAUGGAAACCAAGAAAGUGGCCAGUCCUGGGUGGACGUGUUGGGAGUGUGACCGCCUGUUCAUGCAGAGAGAUGUGUACAUAUCCCACGUGAGGAAGGAGCACGGGAAGCAAAUGAAGAAACACCCCUGCCGCCAGUGUGACAAGUCUUUCAGCUCGUCCCACAGCCUGUGCCGGCACAACCGGAUCAAGCACAAAGGCAUCAGGAAAGGGUACGCCUGCUCGCACUGCCCAGACUCCAGACGUACCUUUACCAAACGACUGAUGCUGGAGAAGCACGUCCAGCUGAUGCAUGGCAUCAAGGACCCUGACCUGAAAGAAAUGACAGACGCCACCAAUGAGGAGGAAACAGAAAUGAAAGAAGACACCAAGGUCCCCAGUCCCAAGCGGAAGUUGGAAGAACCAGUUCUGGAGUUCAGGCCUCCCCGAGGAGCAAUCACUCAACCAUUGAAAAAGCUGAAAAUCUAUAAACUAUAA
RNA transcript from Rhinopithecus roxellana (golden snub-nosed monkey), 3734 nucleotides. It is a transcript of the gene named zinc finger protein 532 pseudogene, with no coding region annotated. The transcript has a single exon. The record is from RefSeq and is a predicted model, not a curated record. Lineage: Eukaryota; Metazoa; Chordata; Mammalia; Primates; Cercopithecidae.